Molecule: ribosomal RNA, 112 nt
Filed under: Lepisosteus oculatus (spotted gar)
Lineage: Eukaryota; Metazoa; Chordata; Actinopteri; Semionotiformes; Lepisosteidae
Source: RNAcentral
CCAGAGAGCAUUACCACCCUGUAACCUGAUCUGGUUAGAUUUCGGAAGCUCAGCAUGGCUGGACUUGGUCAGUACUGAAGUGGGAGAGCUCGAGGGAAAACCAGGCUGCGGC